RNAcentral lists this ribosomal RNA (253 nucleotides) under uncultured bacterium. RNAcentral describes it as "partial 16S ribosomal RNA". It matches the Rfam family "Bacterial small subunit ribosomal RNA", at positions 524 to 776 of the family's 1533-position model. The record is from RNAcentral.
UACGAAGGGAGCUAGCGUUGUUCGGAAUCACUGGGCGUAAAGCGCACGUAGGCGGAUUUGUUAGUCAGGGGUGAAAUCCCGGGGCUCAACCUCGGAACUGCCUUUGAUACUGCAAAUCUCGAGUCCGGAAGAGGUGGGUGGAAUUCCUAGUGUAGAGGUGAAAUUCGUAGAUAUCAGGAGGAACACCGGUGGCGAAAGCGGCUUCCUGGCCCGACACUGACGCUCAUGUACGAAAGCGUGGGGAGCGAACAGG